CCCCGGCUGGGGUCCGGGGGCGAAGCCCCCGGCUGGGGUCCGGGGGCGAAGCCCCCGGCUGGGGUCCGGGGGCGAAGCCC
This 80-nucleotide transfer RNA is filed under the name Lentzea sp. NBRC 105346. RNAcentral's name for it is "tRNA-Pro". The record is from RNAcentral. Lineage: Bacteria; Bacillati; Actinomycetota; Actinomycetes; Pseudonocardiales; Pseudonocardiaceae.